AGCGAACGCUGGCGGCAGGCCUAACACAUGCAAGUCGAACGAACUCUUCGGAGUUAGUGGCGGACGGGUGAGUAACACGUGGGAACGUGCCUUUUGGUUCGGAAUAACUCAGGGAAACUUGUGCUAAUACCGAAUGUGCCCUUCGGGGGAAAGAUUUAUCGCCAUUAGAGCGGCCCGCGUCUGAUUAGCUAGUUGGUGAGGUAACGGCUCACCAAGGCGACGAUCAGUAGCUGGUCUGAGAGGAUGACCAGCCACACUGGGACUGAGACACGGCCCAGACUCCUACGGGAGGCAGCAGUGGGGAAUCGUGCGAAAUGGGCGAAAGCCUGACGCAGCCAUGCCGCGUGAAUGAUGAAGGUCUUAGGAUUGUAAAAUUCUUUAACCGGGGACGAUAAUGACGGUACCCGGAGAAGAAGCCCCGGCUAACUUCGUG
This 433-nucleotide ribosomal RNA is filed under the name uncultured bacterium. RNAcentral describes it as "partial 16S ribosomal RNA". It matches the Rfam family "Bacterial small subunit ribosomal RNA", at positions 29 to 507 of the family's 1533-position model. The record is from RNAcentral.